This 225-nucleotide long non-coding RNA is filed under the name Setaria italica (foxtail millet). RNAcentral's name for it is "long non-coding RNA (SITA_LNC004723)". Lineage: Eukaryota; Viridiplantae; Streptophyta; Magnoliopsida; Poales; Poaceae. The record is from RNAcentral.
AGGAUUCCCCUAUAAUCCGACUAGGACUCAUACCGAGUACUCCUACUAAGACUCCUCCUUCUAAUCCGACUAGUUCUCCUACCCCCUGAAGUAUAUAAAGGAGGGCAGGAGUAUCUAGAUCGGCAGCUCACCUAAGCUCACAAAACAACAUAACACAACUCAUCAAUACAAUCCACACACAGGAUGUAGGGUAUUACGCAAUCUAGCGGCCCGAACCUGUUUAAA